RNAcentral lists this long non-coding RNA (160 nucleotides) under Anneissia japonica. RNAcentral's name for it is "uncharacterized LOC117116828". The record is from RNAcentral. Lineage: Eukaryota; Metazoa; Echinodermata; Crinoidea; Comatulida; Comatulidae.
CAGAGGAUUUGACAACUGUACCCACUACGGACAAGACAACAGUCACAACCACACCAUCAGAGGAUUUGACAACUGUACCUACUACGGACAAGACAACAGUCACAACCACACCAUCAGAGGAUUUGACAACUGUACCCACUACGGACAAGACAGCAGUCAC